Non-coding RNA from Pelodiscus sinensis (Chinese soft-shelled turtle), 4229 nucleotides. Lineage: Eukaryota; Metazoa; Chordata; Testudines; Trionychidae. The record is from RefSeq and is a predicted model, not a curated record.
UAUCUUUCGAAAAAGCCUCUUUUGAAAGAGACUUGCAGUCUAGACAUAGCCCAAGUGUCCACAUGGGGGAGUGACAGCAUGUUACUGUGGUGUAUAGUAGAGUUGGACAACAUAGACUUGGUUAAAGAGUCAGAAUGUAGGAGAUGCAAAGGCAGCUUUGCAAACCAGGUGUCCUGGAGCUGAGUACAGCUCUGCUAGAGUAGAGACUCUGGCCUAAGCUAAAGAAUUUGAAGUCUAAAGGUGAGGCCAUGCCUUUGUCUAUGUGGUGCCUAAUAUGUUUUUGAUCCGAAUAUAACAAUUAGGCCAUCUGCCAGAAACAGUCAUGAGAAAUGCCACUUGUCAUGGGGGGAUAAUGAAGAUGGGAAACAAUGGAGAGCUUUUCUUGGGACAGAAGAAUUGGACUUAGUUCAUUAAGAUAAUUUAAUUAGCAAUCUAUGAAAUUACUUCAGACUCUUGGUUCAGGGACCAAAAUUGAAAUUUACUUUGGUUUGGAAGCCAGAGUCAUGAACUGAGUGAAAAUUAUCCAGUCUAUUAUCAGGAAUAUUCAGUAUUCCUCCCUCUUCUUCACUGCCUCCACUUUGGACCAUUUACAGUGCAUCAUCUGAGGGUAGGAAUGUUAAAAUGUGUGCAGUAAAGUAUCUGUGUAUCCACUAUCAGAGGCCACAGUGCAGGGUGGCAGGCGGUUCCCCAGAGCCAGCUGCCUGCACGUAUCGGGCGUCUGUGUGUAAAUAUGAACAUUAACCCAUAAGCCCAGGCUCAUUGAGUAACCAUGUACAUGGUUAAAAUUUCAAAUCCCUAACUGGAGCAUGGGAAACCGUUAAACCCUUAUUGCUGUUGAAGAAGUAGAAAAUUAAAGGGAAGCCAUAGUCUAGAAUGGUAGAGAUUGGAGGCGGGAGGAAGAAAGAACACAUUUUAAAAAACCAAGUUUUAACUCUAUUUUAAAAAGUUCUAACCCUGGAGUUUUUAGUACCUUGUGUUUAGCAGAAAGCAGGGUGGAGUAGAGGGAACAUUACCAACUUCCUUAAUUGAUUUUUCUUCCUAUCUGUAAAUAUCACCACACAUAAUGUGGCAGACUUGUGCCGCAAAUUGUGGUUUUUUUUAAAGUGUUGUUAGUUCCAAGUUACCAAUGUCUCUGUUUAUGUUAAUGCAAGGUCAUCUUGUUCUUGGAAUGAAAUUGCUUCAUCAUCAGCUCUUUAGGGAAUAUGAAGUUCAUACGAAAUCUCAGCUUCCUUUUUCAAAAGGGAAAAGCUGUCAGUAUGCUUUUCUGGGAGUCUCUUCUUCCCUCCCUCAUCCCUCAAUUUGCAGCAUGGGGUGGAGCUUAUUGUUGCAAACCAAACAUCUUAAGUUCCAGCUUGAGUAUUCAUUUUCCUCCUACCAGUUAAUUGAUUUUUGGGCUGUCCCAACUUGUCUGUAGAGUGAAUAAGCCAAGAACUGUGCAGGGAAAAGGACUGAGUUCUCUGUCACUAGAGUUGACAGCAUUCAAAGGUGUGUGCUUUGUGGAACUUUUGGACAAGUCUGAAUUCAAGAUUCCGGUGUCUUUUCUUAAAUGCAUUGUUGCUGUUGAGAAGGGGACCAACAUGACUCUACUAGAACCAGAGAAGCUGAUGAUGGCAGUCCAAUCAGCUGACCGUGGCAGCUCCACAUAGCAAAUGCUUUCCUGCUUGGACCACUGUGAAUAUGCUGGAUCUGUGAAGAGGAGGCUGUGCAGUCCCAGCUAUAGGAAUUUCAAUCUUUAUGGAAAGGUAGCACAAAAAGGGCUCUGAUCAGGAUGCGCUGCAGUGCAGAGAAAAGAUUAAGGAGUUGAGGCACACAUCAGAAGGCAAGGGAGAUAAACUGUCACUCCUGUGCUGUGUCCAGACUUGCCGUUUUUUAUAGAGUUGUAUGCUGUCCUCUGCUGUGACCACAUCUCUACUGCCAAAAGUGUUAUGGAUAUUUUGAUGGUGCUAAAUCCAGCAGAAAGUGGGCCUAGCUUGGAGGACAAAUUCAUUGACAAAGAGGAUGCGGCAUGUGACAGUGUGGUGCAAACAGCAGGGUCGCCUAGUAGUUGAUCCAGUCAGGAUUGUUCGCCGUUCCAGAGAUGUCUCAGCAAUUGCAAUCCUGAGAGCAAGAAGCAGGAGAGGAGAUUCUUGAUGUGACCUUGAGGCACCCUCUACACAAUGAUGGAGUGCCAGUACCAAUAAGAAAGUGCCUGGGAUGGAGCAAGAAAGACUUGUUCCUGGAGGUGAUUCAAUGCUCAGUUGCUGAAAACAGGGAACACAGACACUGAAAGGAAAUUGAAGGCAAGACAGACAAAGAAAUUGAGGCCUACAUUAGGGAUGCAAAGGAGAAAAUGAUUAAAGAUAUGGAGAAGCAAAUAGAGAUUUAUAGUGUCUUAUAACACCCAAGAUUCAGCAGAUUUGUGCCCGCUUUCCCCUUCAGCACAUUCAGAACUCCCUCCCCAUACUUCACCUCCAAGUUCCUUUCUUCUCUAUGGGACUUCUCUCUAUCCUUUUUGUUCCAUUUGCCUGGACGUCUUUGGGACUUAAGUACAUCUCUUGAAAUUCAGCCCUCUGCCUUGGUACCUCCUCUUCCUUUAAAUAUAUAUGUGUGUGUGUGUGUGUAUAAUUUGUUGUCGUUUUUGUGCAAUAAAAGCAACAUUUUAAAAUAAAUCAUUAUUUCUCUCCUGCAAAUUGUGAUAGCAGAUGACUGUGGUGGUGUUGAAUUUUUGAGAUGACCAUACUAUACAUGGUUGCAACCACUAUUACAAUUGCAACAAAUACAAAGUGGGCCAAAUAAGUUGUCUAUGAAGAGCUUGUAAUUCACUGUAAUUCUGUUUGUUCUGCUUGUAUGCAUGUAUCAUUUUUGUAUUUGAAGUUAUGAGACUUGGCUUAGUACUUGGAUUUCAAAUGUUUGCUUCUGACUGACAGAUCAGUUGUUGUGGUCCACCUAUUGUGAAAGGAUUGCUAGUCAAGUGAAUAAAAGUACUUGGUUGACAACUUUGCUGUGAACGUUCAGACCAGCAUGCAAGGGAUGGCUGUUUGCUAAAUAAGGACCGAGUCAUGCAUGGGGACAUGCUUUCAUACAGCAAGACCAAUACAAUUCCCUCUACAUAGGCAAGCAUAUAAAAAGGACCCUGAGAGCACCUCCAUUUUGUCUUUAUUCCAGUUCAUCAUUUCUGAAGCAUCUUUGCUAUGAAUUGAGCCUGAUGUUCCAUCCUAACAGAGGAUGUAUUCCAGAGACUUACAAAACAGCAGACUAUUCCACCUCUGCUACAAUUCUGCACCAAGAACUUUGCAAUUGGUGUACGUAACUUGAUUCCUUUAACAAUUUUCCUCUCAUCAAUUCCUUUCCUUUUAUUAAUAAACCUUUAGAUUUUAGAUGCUAAAGAAUUGGCACAGUGUGGUCUUUUGGGUAAGAUCUGAGGCAUAAAUUGAUCUGGGAAUGUCUGGUCCUUUAGAACUGGAAGAACCUGUUUGGAUUUUGUGAAGCUGGUUUUAAUAACCUCUCAUCUGUAUAAGGAGUGGUACUGGUGGUGAAAAAGGAAAGCUGGAGUGUCUAAGGGUUUUGCUUGUAUGACUUGUUUCAGGCCAGUGUAGUGAACAGAAGUGCUCUUUUUGUGACUGAUUUGGUGUGCCUUAUAAUGAAGGACCCCAAUCUUGGGCUAAGUAGCCUUGUCUGUAAAAUAACUUGUCCUCUCAGCGGUGCCCCCAAGGAAUCACCUAUAUUAUGAUGAGAGCAACAGAUAAACAAGCAUUUAAAUAAUUUGCUCACAUAGAAUUCUAGGCCACAAAAAUCUCAAAUGCUUCCUUGCAAAACUCUGAUUUCAUUAAUCACUGUAGUCCAGAGCCUAGCAACAUUAAUUAUUUGCUCUUAUGUUCAAAAUGGUAUUUCAAAUCCUUCAUGAUUCGAAUAGUCCCCUUUUGUGGCCCUCUAAAGCAUUCGUGGCUGUCUCUCGAAAUCACCUGCCAAGUGUUAUGUCUCAGCAGUCCACCCCUCAGCAAACUUAUUUCCCCUACAUUCACAGAUAUUGUGCAAUGUGCAACACACAGCAACGACCAUGGGAAUAUUAUCAUUGAGGUCAAAUCUGCCAUAAAGGCAUUGCUAGUGUACCUUUAAUCUGCCAAAUGCACAUUCUACUGUCACCCUGCACCUACUCAACCUACGGUUGAACCACUCCUUACUGCUAUCCAAGUUUCUUGAGUAAGGCUGUAUCUAAACUACAUCCCUUUUUUGGUAAAGGCAUGUAAAUU